AACGAACGCUGGCGGCAGGCUUAACACAUGCAAGUCGAACGGGCACCUUCGGGUGUCAGUGGCAGACGGGUGAGUAACGCGUGGGAACGUACCCUUCGGUUCGGAAUAACCCAGGGAAACUUGGGCUAACACCGGAUACGUCCGCAAGGAGAAAGAUUUAUCGCCGAAGGAUCGGCCCGCGUCGGAUUAGCUAGUUGGUGGGUAAUGGCCCACCAAGGCGACGAUCCGUAGCUGGUCUGAGAGGAUGANCA
RNAcentral lists this ribosomal RNA (251 nucleotides) under uncultured bacterium. Its description in RNAcentral is "partial 16S ribosomal RNA". It matches the Rfam family "Bacterial small subunit ribosomal RNA", at positions 29 to 306 of the family's 1533-position model. The record is from RNAcentral.